Molecule: non-coding RNA, 160 nt
Organism: Gossypium raimondii (Peruvian cotton)
Lineage: Eukaryota; Viridiplantae; Streptophyta; Magnoliopsida; Malvales; Malvaceae
Source: Rfam
UAUUAAAAAUUUCAUCCAUUUGUAUUAUUAAAAUUGGCGUGGCUAAUAGAAUAACUAAACAGUGAUAAGUGUUGUACUACGUGUAUCUCAUGCUGCGUGUAUCUCAUGCUGAUGUAUAAGGAUUAGUUUUUAGUAGUAGAAAAGGAUGAAAUUUUUAAGA